RNAcentral lists this long non-coding RNA (484 nucleotides) under Mus spretus (western wild mouse). RNAcentral's name for it is "metastasis associated lung adenocarcinoma transcript 1 (non-coding RNA) (ENSMSPG00010050690.1)". Lineage: Eukaryota; Metazoa; Chordata; Mammalia; Rodentia; Muridae. The record is from RNAcentral.
AGGCAUUCAGGCAGCGAGAGCAGAGCAGCGUAGAGCAGCGCAGCUGAGCUGGUGAGGCAGGAGACUCAGCCCGAGGAAAUCGCAGAUAAGUUUUUAAUUAAAAAGAUUGAGCAGUAAAAAGAAUUAGAACUCUAAACUUAAGCUAAUAGAGUAGCUUAUCGAAAUAUUACUUAGUCUUAAUAAUCUAAGAAGAUCUUAAGAGAUAACAUGAGGGCUUAUUUAAACAGUUGAAAAAGGAAAUGAGGAGAAAAGUAUUUGUACUGUAUAAUGGAGGCUGGCCAGAGCAGUUUAGGGGAUUGUAAAGGGAGGUUUUAUGGAGUUCUAAAAGGUUCUAGUUUGAAGGUCGGCCUUGUAGAUUAAAACGAAGGUUACCUAAAUAGAAUCUAAAUGGCAUUUAAAACAGUAAAGUUGUAGACAAUAGUUUGAAAAUGAGGUUAGGCUAGUAUUUGGAGAAAGAAGAUUAGAAAAUGGAAGUGAAAGUCGA